This 1589-nucleotide long non-coding RNA is filed under the name Triticum aestivum (bread wheat). RNAcentral describes it as "long non-coding RNA (TAES_LNC025502)". Lineage: Eukaryota; Viridiplantae; Streptophyta; Magnoliopsida; Poales; Poaceae. The record is from RNAcentral.
UAAGAUAAAGUUAGUAGCUGUAAGCCUAUAAGUUAAAAAAACUGAACUGUGUUCAAUUGUGAUGGACUUCAUACGAGGCAAAGCUCAGGCAUACGCUAAUAUCUCAGAGCACUUGGAUAAGCUAGUGUGGUCCACCAUGGCAUAUUAUCCUGUUAUCCUGGUUAUACACCCUCAUAUUCUUAUCUUGAACCACUUGUAAGUUGGCAGAGAUUGAAAUUCACAUAUACACAGAAUACGCUGGUUGUAGGUAAACAUCAUCCUAUCUAUGCAAUAGUGCUUUUAAAGACCACUACUCUAUGUCCUCUUUUUCUUAUGUUUAUCACAUGUUUUUAAUUUCCUCUCUUGGUUUCUCAUGGCAUCUUACAUUGAUUUGUACUCUUCUGGCAUGUCCUACAAUAGUUCCUGCAAAAAUGUGUACUACAUUAUAUCAGGUAAAAUCAUUUGUAAAAUGAGAAAAGAGUGUCUAGUUCCAUUGUAAAAGGUGGCUACUAUUUUAAUGGAAAAAAACAUGAGAUUACAAUGUAAUGAAGCCAAAAAAUAAAGAACUUAAUGUAGAACACAUCUUACAUGAAAAUAUGAAAUGAAACUGCAAAAAGUUACAGAAAUCAAGUAGCCAAGAUGUGCAAGAAGCAAUGAAAUAUUUUGGAGGCGAAGCCGAAAUGAAAUGGGAGUGAAAAAGCACCUCUCGACGGAUCAAAACAUAUAUUAUCUUCCAUACAUGCUGACUACUUACAUGGAUGAUGCAUAAGCAUCGGAAAUUUUAAAAAAGAAAAACAUACAUGUAAUAUCCGCAUAUUCAUGUAGUGCAACUUCUUAAGAGCCUUCUUUCUAGGGUUGAAAGCUUCUGAAAAGCCUACGAUUAUCUAAAUUUCCAUAAGUAGCAGACAUGAAAUUUGCAUCAAAAUAAUCACAAUUAAGAGUCUAUAGUACAUCUUGAGCAACAAACUAGUGGUUCAGUAUAGCGUCAUGAAAUAAGAGUACCCUUGCUGAAGAUACAGUCAAACAAAAAGUAGUUUUACUGAGUCAAUUGUCCAAUUUAGAGUUAACAUAUGGACUGCAAUAACCAAGCAUCAACUACAGCAGCUGGACGUUUGUGAACAAAUAACUUAUAACUACACAUGAGGAAGCAAAUCUGCAUGAACUCCGAGCGGGCACCAUCAAAUUUUACAGAUUAAGUGAUCAUCUCCCAGGCAAAUCUGCAUGAACCUAUCUUUACAGCCAUUCCAGACCCUCAACGUGACGCACGCCCUGAGCCCCUCCCAACUGAGAGGCCCCCAAUUGAAACUGGUCAGAUAUCUGUACGUACCUCCGACUAGUUGCUCGACAUGGUGGAUCUGGCGACGGCGCGCCCGAGAACUCCAAAUAUGGCUUCAAAACUCGGACACAUGCUUCAGGGAUGUAGUGCGCCACUGAUUUGGGGAACUCGGACACAUGCUUCAGGGAUGUAGUGCGCCACUAAUUUGGGGAUGGAGCUCAUCACCGACUCAAUAAAAAGAUGCUCCCUGCUACCUUUAGGGAAUACCGGAGAAAGAGGACAAUGACGAGUAGGCGUAGAUGGAGAUGCCGCUCCCACGGGGCGGUUGAGGGGC